Molecule: ribosomal RNA, 515 nt
Filed under: Fusarium fusarioides
Lineage: Eukaryota; Fungi; Ascomycota; Sordariomycetes; Hypocreales; Nectriaceae
Description: eukaryotic LSU rRNA
Rfam family: 5.8S ribosomal RNA (bases 125-278)
Source: RNAcentral
UGAACAUAACUUUGACGUGGCGGAGGCGGGAGCCGACGGCACGGGCCCCCGGGCCGCGGCCGCCAGAGGACGUCCUAACUCUGUUUCUAUGAUGUAUCAUCUGAGUAAUCAAGCCUUUAAAUCGGACUUUUUGGCUCGGAUCUCUUGACUAUGGCAUCGAUGAAGAACGCAGCGUAAUGCGAGAAGUUAUGGGAUUUCCAGAAUUUAGUGAAUCAUGGAAUCUCUGUACGCACGUGGCGCGCGGCAGUAAUCUGAUGGACCUGCGUGCCCGAGCGUCAUUUCGGCACUCAGGCACCCGCGCCGGGCGUAGGGGAUCGCCGGAAGCCGCGUGCGGGCACAACGCCCGUCCCCCAAAUACAGUGGACGGUCCCGCCGCUGCUUGCAUGGCGUAGUCGCUACACCUCGCAACUGGAGAGCGGCGCGGCCACGCCGUAAACACCCAACUCCUGAAUGUUGACCUCGAAUCAGAGUAAGAAUUACCGCUGGACUUAAGCAUAUCAAUAAGCGGAAGGAAC